This 72-nucleotide transfer RNA is filed under the name Marmota monax (woodchuck). RNAcentral's name for it is "tRNA.Ala". The record is from RNAcentral. Lineage: Eukaryota; Metazoa; Chordata; Mammalia; Rodentia; Sciuridae.
UGAGGAUGCGUCUCAGUGGUAGAGCACUUGCCUAGCAAGCAUCCACCCUGGGUUUGAUCCCCAGCACCACAA